This is a long non-coding RNA of Symphalangus syndactylus (siamang), 672 nucleotides long. RefSeq lists it as uncharacterized. NCBI's taxonomy places the organism in Eukaryota, Metazoa, Chordata, Mammalia, Primates, Hylobatidae. The record is from RefSeq and is a predicted model, not a curated record.
CCAAUUCCAAGGGCCUCAGCUAAGCCACUCAGAGAAAAAAAGACCUGAGCCUUAUUCGGAGAGAAAAAAAAAAAAUGGUGUGCAGCUGCAGCUUACCCCAUGUGACACUGCACAGAAUCCCAAAGAAAUAGAGGGGGAGAGACCCAGCCGUGCCUGCAGCCUGCCCCUCUCUCGGCUUGUGGCUAGGAUUAGGGAAAUGCUCUGACCUACACACAUGGACGGACGCCUGCUCAAAAGAUGUGGUCCCUGGACUGGAAGCUUCAGAAUCAUCUGGAAAUGUGCUAGAAAUUCAGGCUCCCAGGCCUCCCCUACCACUCCUUUACAAGUACACAAGGUCACUGGAUAGAUGGUCCCUUUGGAUCAUGUGCUCAUCCCUGUUCCAGUCAGCUGUGAUCAGAGGAGCAACACUGUGUGAGAUAAGGCUUGAAACCUAAGGAAUUUCAAAGAGGGGGCCACGAUGGGCAUUCAGCGGCAUCUCAGGAGGGGGCAGAGUAACAAGCAGGUGCUUUGCAUGCUGGUCUGGUGUGUCUGGAAAGGGCAUCCUGCUAAAACGUUUGUCAGGAAACUUCUCAUCAGCAUUUCCAGCAUGCAGGAGCAACCGAGAGAGCCACUUAGAUACCGUCUGAUUAUAAUGUGUUUCUCAGAGAAAUAAAUAUCCCAAAUGGAAGCACA